This 84-nucleotide transfer RNA is filed under the name Gemmatimonadales bacterium. RNAcentral describes it as "tRNA-Leu". It matches the Rfam family "tRNA". From Rfam's summary of the family: Transfer RNA (tRNA) molecules are approximately 80 nucleotides in length. Their secondary structure includes four short double-helical elements and three loops (D, anti-codon, and T loops). Lineage: Bacteria; Pseudomonadati; Gemmatimonadota; Gemmatimonadia; Gemmatimonadales. The record is from RNAcentral.
GCCCGGGUGGCGAAACUGGUAGACGCUUGGGACUUAAAAUCCUUUGGGGGCGACCCCGUGCGGGUUCGAAUCCCGCCCCGGGCA